Sinocyclocheilus rhinocerous is the source of this 304-nucleotide long non-coding RNA. RefSeq lists it as uncharacterized. The transcript is spliced from 2 exons. The record is from RefSeq and is a predicted model, not a curated record. Lineage: Eukaryota; Metazoa; Chordata; Actinopteri; Cypriniformes; Cyprinidae.
AUAAUCGUCUUGUUAGACUGGAACUUUUCGAUGUCAUUUCUGAGAGAGAAGUCUCUGUUAAUUAGGCUAACAAUUCUGCAUUGUUUGAAGUAUUACAUUAUGUUUUUCAGCAAUGGAUGGAUUUAACCUUUCAUGAUUAAUCGGGCACCUCUGAGGGCCACUAAUGAAGAAAAGUGAAGACUAAGAUGUAACUUCUUAAGUCUGCAAAAGGUUUGAAAUGAAGUAAACUGCAUACAAUCCAAGGAGUGGAAAUUCUGGAUGACAACUGUUCAUAACUGUUCAUUACAUUUCUGUAUGCAGCAUU